Molecule: ribosomal RNA, 708 nt
Filed under: Escherichia sp.
Lineage: Bacteria; Pseudomonadati; Pseudomonadota; Gammaproteobacteria; Enterobacterales; Enterobacteriaceae
Description: bacterial SSU rRNA
Rfam family: Bacterial small subunit ribosomal RNA
Source: RNAcentral
ACGCUGGCGGCAGGCCUAACACAUGCAAGUCGAACGGUAACAGGAAGAAGCUUGCUUCUUUGCUGACGAGUGGCGGACGGGUGAGUAAUGUCUGGGAAACUGCCUGAUGGAGGGGGAUAACUACUGGAAACGGUAGCUAAUACCGCAUAACGUCGCAAGACCAAAGAGGGGGACCUUCGGGCCUCUUGCCAUCGGAUGUGCCCAGAUGGGAUUAGCUUGUUGGUGGGGUAACGGCUCACCAGGCGACGAUCCCUAGCUGGUCUGAGAGGAUGACCAGCCACACUGGAACUGAGACACGGUCCAGACUCCUACGGGAGGCAGCAGUGGGGAAUAUUGCACAAUGGGCGCAAGCCUGAUGCAGCCAUGCCGCGUGUAUGAAGAAGGCCUUCGGGUUGUAAAGUACUUUCAGCGGGGAGGAAGGGAGUAAAGUUAAUACCUUUGCUCAUUGACGUUACCCGCAGAAGAAGCACCGGCUAACUCCGUGCCAGCAGCCGCGGUAAUACGGAGGGUGCAAGCGUUAAUCGGAAUUACUGGGCGUAAAGCGCACGCAGGCGGUUUGUUAAGUCAGAUGUGAAAUCCCCGGGCUCAACCUGGGAACUGCAUCUGAUACUGGCAAGCUUGAGUCUCGUAGAGGGGGGUAGAAUUCCAGGUGUAGCGGUGAAAUGCGUAGAGAUCUGGAGGAAUACCGGUGGCGAAGGCGGCCCCCUG